This 460-nucleotide ribosomal RNA is filed under the name uncultured bacterium. RNAcentral's name for it is "partial 16S ribosomal RNA". It matches the Rfam family "Bacterial small subunit ribosomal RNA", at positions 338 to 795 of the family's 1533-position model. The record is from RNAcentral.
CCUACGGGAGGCUGCAGUGAGGAAUAUUGGUCAAUGGGCUUACGCCUGAACCAGCCAAGUCGCGUGAGGGAAGACUGCCCUAUGGGUUGUAAACCUCUUUUGUCAGGGAGCAAUUGGCGCUACGUGUAGCGUUAUCGAGAGUACCUGAAGAAAAAGCAUCGGCUAACUCCGUGCCAGCAGCCGCGGUAAUACGGAGGAUGCGAGCGUUAUCCGGAUUUAUUGGGUUUAAAGGGUGCGUAGGCGGAAUGCCAAGUCAGCGGUAAAAUCGCGGGGCUCAACCUCGCUCCGCCGUUGAAACUGGCGUCCUUGAGUGGGCGAGAGGUAGGCGGAAUGCGUGGUGUAGCGGUGAAAUGCAUAGAUAUCACGCAGAACUCCGAUUGCGAAGGCAGCAUGCCGGCGCCCGACUGACGCUGAGGCACGAAGGCGUGGGUAUCGAACAGGAUUAGAUACCCCGGUAGUC